CUCUCUAAAAUGGGAAAUUCAAAUUCUCUAUUCCUAUAUAUGUCAGCCCGAGAGUCUCAUUUCCUAUAUAUGCAACUCUUCAGGAGUCUAUUUGCAUUUGUGUUGUUUUAUCUUUGCACAAGAUUUCUUGGCAAAUCCUUCAAUAUGAUAUAAGAGCCUUGCUUGUUACAGCUGAAAUGCACUCUCAUUAUAUGCAAUUUCAAAUGUUCACACGACAAAUUCAACUUUGAUCAGCUAAUUGUGAAUUGACUUUUCUUCUUGCCUGGCGCAAAUUCUGAUAAUUAUUCACUCUGUGUAUUUCUACAAAUUCUUAUAAUUCCUUUGGCGAACAACAUUUGCAAAGAACAUGGAGCAGAGAAUAUGGAGAAUAAGGCGUGAUUUCUGGUUGUUAUUUUGUCAUAUAAGGAGGCAUUCUAUUGUCCGAGCAAUUUUUCAUCUUGGGCACCCCUUUGCCCUUCAUUUUCAGUGCUUUAUUUCACUUAGUCUGCCUUACAAAUAGAUGGACUUUGGCGCCCUUUUUUGAAGACUAUUUCAUAGAUUUUUUUUAGUUAAAUCUGUAAUCGUCUUGAAUUUGGAAAUUUCUUCUUGGGCUAUUGAAGUCUAUACAAAAAAAUUCCUAUUUUUUCCA
Molecule: long non-coding RNA, 628 nt
Organism: Cryptomeria japonica (Japanese cedar)
Lineage: Eukaryota; Viridiplantae; Streptophyta; Pinopsida; Cupressales; Cupressaceae
Exons: 3
Source: RefSeq, a predicted model, not a curated record